AAAGGUAAGGCCAGAGGAGGGGGCUGGGGGGGACCCCAGACCCAGGAGGGGCAGAGGGCGCCGGAGCCGGGCUGGUUUCCCUCCCCAGCUGUAGGGCUCCCUGUGCCCCUGCACACACACACACCCCGCCCCCUCCCAGCCCCCCACUUCCUCAACCCUCGGCCCUUGGCCCCUUCCCUCCUUGGCCCCAUUUCUCCUCCUUGGGUUCCCUCUUUCCCUCCCUCUCCCUCCACGUCCUUCUGUCCCUUUGCAUGGCUCCCCUGCCCGGCUCCUGCUGGCUCUCCCUGGCCCUCAUCCCUCCCCCUCCCUCGCUGCCCAGCCUGUCUUCCUUGGCCCUUUCCUCAGUCUCUGUCCCUCCCCAGCUCCCCAUUUCUCCUUCCCCUCCCCCCUUCUCCCUGGCCCCUCUCCCUCCCCAUCCCACCUCCUCCCUCCCUCCCUCCCUCUCCUCCCAGGCUCCAUCCCCUCCCCUCAGCCUCUGUCCCUGUUCCCACGGCCUGUGACUCUGCUCUUCAUCCUGCUUACAAGGCCCUGAAGGUCGUGAGGCCCCGGCCCCGGGCCCGGACACCCCCCCCCCCGAGCCUGCGGCCCGAGGAAGUCCAGGCCUGCCCUCCCCCUUCUCAUCCCUGGGUCUGGGACCUGCAGGGGUGGGGGGAAAACUGUCUCGCAGUGCGCGGAGGACCCGUGCGGCGCGCUCGCUGGGCCCUGACCCGCCAGCAGGGCCUCUGUCCGGUUCAGCACCGGCUCACUGCCCGCCAGCUCCCCUCCCUCCUCUGCAGUGCUGGGCUGGGGGGGAUGGGACGGCCCUGGAGGGGAGCGCGAGCAGCCGUCUCCCAGAGGGAAGGAGACCAGGGGUGGAAAUCAGUCUCAGAGGCUUGCCUGCCCCUUGGGGGGGUGGGAAACCCCCGCUUUGGGGGAUUGGACGGGGGGGGGUGGAGGCUGGGUCCGAAGCUCGAGGUCUCAGAAGGGGCGGGGGCCUGGGUCCUCGAGGGGCCAGGGCGCACGUCCCGGGGGCUCCGAGGCUCGGGGUCCCUGCUCAGUUUAAGCGAGGCAAGGGAGGGCCAGAUGCUCCUUGGGGGCCCCUUGUCCCCGUGGCUCUAG
Molecule: long non-coding RNA, 1098 nt
Filed under: Sarcophilus harrisii (Tasmanian devil)
Lineage: Eukaryota; Metazoa; Chordata; Mammalia; Dasyuromorphia; Dasyuridae
Description: lncRNA (ENSSHAG00000024937.1)
Source: RNAcentral